CCUACGGGAGGCAGCAGUGGGGAAUAUUGCACAAUGGGGGAAACCCUGAUGCAGCGACGCCGCGUGAGUGAAGAAGUAUCUCGGUAUGUAAAGCUCUAUCAGCAGGGAAGAAAAUGACGGUACCUGACUAAGAAGCCCCGGCUAACUACGUGCCAGAAGCCGCCGUAAUACGUAGGGGGCAAACGUUAUCCGGAUUUACUGGGUGGAAAGGGGGCGUAGACGGCGCUGCAAGUCCGGAGUGAAAGCCCAGGGCUUAACCACGGGACUGCUCUGGAAACUGGGGGGCUGGAGUGCGGGAGGGGCAGGCGGAAUGCCUGGUGUAGCGGUGAAAUGCGUAGAUAUUAGGAGGAACACCGGUGGCGAAGGCGGCCUGCUGGACCGUAACUGACGUUGAGGCUCGAAAGCGUGGGGAGCAAACAGGAUUAGAUACCCUGGUAGUC
This 440-nucleotide ribosomal RNA is filed under the name uncultured bacterium. RNAcentral describes it as "partial 16S ribosomal RNA". It matches the Rfam family "Bacterial small subunit ribosomal RNA", at positions 338 to 795 of the family's 1533-position model. The record is from RNAcentral.